RNAcentral lists this ribosomal RNA (376 nucleotides) under uncultured bacterium. Its description in RNAcentral is "bacterial SSU rRNA". It matches the Rfam family "Bacterial small subunit ribosomal RNA", at positions 28 to 404 of the family's 1533-position model. The record is from RNAcentral.
GACGAACGCUGGCGGCGUGCUUAACACAUGCAAGUCGAGCGGUAAGGCCCUUUCGGGGGUACGACGAGCGGCGAACGGGUGAGUAACACGUGGGUGACCUGCCCUCAGCUCUGGGAUAAGCCUGGGAAACCGGGUCUAAUACUGGAUAUGACUCCAUGACGCAUGUUGUGGGGUGGAAAGCCUUGUGCGGCUGAGGAUGGGCCCGCGGCCUAUCAGCUUGUUGGUGGGGUGAUGGCCUACCAAGGCGACGACGGGUAGCCGGCCUGAGAGGGCGACCGGCCACACUGGGACUGAGACACGGCCCAGACUCCUACGGGAGGCAGCAGUGGGGAAUCCUGCGCAAUGGGCGAAAGCCUGACGCAGCGACGCCGCGUGA